Molecule: ribosomal RNA, 253 nt
Filed under: uncultured bacterium
Lineage: Bacteria
Description: partial 16S ribosomal RNA
Rfam family: Bacterial small subunit ribosomal RNA
Source: RNAcentral
UACGUAGGUGGCAAGCGUUGUCCGGAUUUACUGGGCGUAAAGAGCGCGCAGGCGGUCGUGCAAGUCGCGUGUGAAAGCCCCCGGCUCAACUGGGGAGGGUCACGCGAUACUGCUCGACUCGAAGGCAGGAGAGGGAAGUGGAAUUCCCAGUGUAGCGGUGAAAUGCGUAGAUAUUGGGAGGAACACCAGUGGCGAAGGCGGCAUCCUGGACUGGUCCUGACACUCAGGAGCGAAAGCGUGGGGAGCGAUCCGG